UACGUAGGGUGCAAGCGUUAAUCGGAAUUACUGGGCGUAAAGCGUGCGCAGGCGGUUGUGCAAGACCGAUGUGAAAUCCCUGGGCUUAACCUGGGAAUGGCAUUGGUGACUGCACGGCUAGAGUGUGUCAGAGGGGGGUAGAAUUCCACGUGUAGCAGUGAAAUGCGUAGAGAUGUGGAGGAAUACCGAUGGCGAAGGCAGCCCCCUGGGAUAACACUGACGCUCAUGCACGAAAGCGUGGGGAGCAAACAGG
RNAcentral lists this ribosomal RNA (253 nucleotides) under uncultured bacterium. RNAcentral's name for it is "partial 16S ribosomal RNA". It matches the Rfam family "Bacterial small subunit ribosomal RNA", at positions 524 to 776 of the family's 1533-position model. The record is from RNAcentral.